GGGGGUAGAUGGGUCCUGGUGGGCCCUCCGGUCUUCAAAACCGGCGAAUGGGGUUCGGAGCCUCAUUGGUGUGUUCGAUUCGCACGUACUCCC
RNAcentral lists this transfer RNA (93 nucleotides) under Ezakiella coagulans. Its description in RNAcentral is "Bacteroides coagulans Selenocysteine transfer RNA". It matches the Rfam family "Selenocysteine transfer RNA". The record is from Rfam by way of RNAcentral. Lineage: Bacteria; Bacillati; Bacillota; Tissierellia.